RNAcentral lists this ribosomal RNA (270 nucleotides) under Triticum aestivum (bread wheat). RNAcentral's name for it is "partial small subunit ribosomal RNA". Lineage: Eukaryota; Viridiplantae; Streptophyta; Magnoliopsida; Poales; Poaceae. The record is from RNAcentral.
AUGGAGUAUGAGCCGACGAUUUACUGCAGCCAGUGCGGGAGGAAGGCGCCGUGGUGGAUAUCAUGGAGUGCGGCGAAUCCUGGAAGGCGAUACUAUGCGUGCGUUGAAGCUCAGCAUGGGUUCAUUGAGUGGCACAACGGCCCAACAUCUCCAUUCCUGCGUGUAUUGUUGGGUGAUCUUCGAGAUAGGAUAUGGAAGCUAGAGGAUUAUGGAGCAGCAAUCUGUAAAGAUGGAGAUGCAGGUGUUGGUGCAUCCUGUGUGGAACUGUAG